RNAcentral lists this transfer RNA (73 nucleotides) under Gemmatimonadota bacterium. RNAcentral describes it as "Gemmatimonadetes bacterium (marine sediment metagenome) tRNA-Asn". It matches the Rfam family "tRNA". From Rfam's summary of the family: Transfer RNA (tRNA) molecules are approximately 80 nucleotides in length. Their secondary structure includes four short double-helical elements and three loops (D, anti-codon, and T loops). Lineage: Bacteria; Pseudomonadati; Gemmatimonadota. The record is from RNAcentral. RNAcentral also lists the same sequence under 1 other name.
UCCCCGGUAGCUCAGUUGGUAGAGCAAGCGGCUGUUAACCGCUGGGUCGUAGGUUCGAGUCCUACCCGGGGAG